CAUCUUUAUUCUUGGAAAUCAGCUGAUCAGUUGACCAUGACGUGACCGAGAACUCAAAAGGUUGCUACGCGCAGGAAAAAUAUGAAAAAACGAAAAAACUGAUUAGAAAAAGAACGUGCGUGGACAAUAAAAAGGAAAAAGUUGAAAUAUAAUGGAGUUCUGUUGUCAUAUUGAAGAAGAGAAACUAUUAUGCAAUAUUUCAAGAGCACGUGGAAGAAAUUGCACUCUAGGGUUUCGAUUAAUAUGUGUGUUAAGUUGCAACGUCAUAAGUAGUCGAGUCAGAGAUCAAGCGGGAUGAUAGGGAAAGUGGUCUUCUUUUGGCUUAUUUCAAUGAUGCAGUUUCACGUUUUGCAUUGGAACAGAGAAAGUAAAAGGCAUUCAUCCAUGCAAAGUCGAUGCCAAAGCUGGUGGUGAUUAAUUCACGUGAUUGAGCAGGUGGCGGAAGAGAGAUUCGUAGUGAUACCGAGGAAACGUUUGGCAAACGCCAGCGAUUUAAUUCAUCACACCAAGUGGCCGCGGACCUGAUGGCCUCCAGGUCACGAAAUGGACAGCCAGGUCGAAGAUGCGAACCUGUAGGGAACAUGACGACCAUUACCAGCGGCAAGGGCGCUAAUAACAUUGCCAAGCGCUGAGAGACUGAGAUUAAUACUCGCAGCUUCCUUGAGUCGAUCACCUGUUGCACCUGUUCGCGUUUG
This is a long non-coding RNA of Leptopilina heterotoma, 695 nucleotides long. RefSeq lists it as uncharacterized. NCBI's taxonomy places the organism in Eukaryota, Metazoa, Arthropoda, Insecta, Hymenoptera, Figitidae. The transcript has 4 exons. The record is from RefSeq and is a predicted model, not a curated record.